This 253-nucleotide ribosomal RNA is filed under the name uncultured bacterium. RNAcentral's name for it is "partial 16S ribosomal RNA". It matches the Rfam family "Bacterial small subunit ribosomal RNA", at positions 524 to 776 of the family's 1533-position model. The record is from RNAcentral.
GACGUAGGGCGCGAGCGUUGUCCGGAUUUAUUGGGCGUAAAGAGCUCGUAGGCGGCUCGUUGCGUCGGCUGUGAAAACCCGCAGCUCAACUGUGGGCUUGCAGCUGAUACGGGCGGGCUGGGAUUCGGUAGGGGAGACUGGAAUUCCUGGUGUAGCGGUGAAAUGCGCAGAUAUCAGGAGGAACACCGGUGGCGAAGGCGGGUCGCUGGGCCGAUAUCGACGCUGAGGAGCGAAAGCGUGGGGAGCGAACAGG